GAUGAACGCUGGCGGCGUGCCUAAUACAUGCAAGUCGAGCGAACAGACGAGGAGCUUGCUCCUCUGACGUUAGCGGCGGACGGGUGAGUAACACGUGGAUAACCUGCCUAUAAGACUGGGAUAACUUCGGGAAACCGGAGCUAAUACCGGAUAAUAUAUUGAACCGCAUGGUUCAAUAGUGAAAGACGGUUUUGCUGUCACUUAUAGAUGGAUCCGCGCCGCAUUAGCUAGUUGGUAAGGUAACGGCUUACCAAGGCAACGAUGCGUAGCCGACCUGAGAGGGUGAUCGGCCACACUGGAACUGAGACACGGUCCAGACUCCUACGGGAGGCAGCAGUAGGGAAUCUUCCGCAAUGGGCGAAAGCCUGACGCAGCAACGCCGCGUGAGUGAUGAAGGUCUUCGGAUCGUAAAACUCUUUUAUUAGGGAAGAACAAAUGUGUAAGUAACUAUGCACGUCUUGACGGUACCUAAUCAGAAAGCCACGGCUAACUACGUG
This 497-nucleotide ribosomal RNA is filed under the name uncultured bacterium. RNAcentral's name for it is "partial 16S ribosomal RNA". It matches the Rfam family "Bacterial small subunit ribosomal RNA", at positions 28 to 507 of the family's 1533-position model. The record is from RNAcentral.